UUUUGAUUGUUUGACUUUGACUUUCAAUGUUAUUGGUCAACAUAUGAUGAUUGGUACAUUGUACUUCAUUUAAUGCAUUUGUAUUUUUGCCAUUUUUAUUUCCAUUAUUCAUCUCCUUCUUCUUCUUUUUUUCUUUUUUGAUCAAUGAGUUGAAGGUUGAUAAGUUAGCAUUGAUUAGGGAGACUUAAUCUUCCUUGAUUCAAAUCUAAUUCAUCUUGAUCAAUUGAUC
This 229-nucleotide long non-coding RNA is filed under the name Lathyrus oleraceus (garden pea). Its description in RNAcentral is "Pisum sativum (pea) long non-coding RNA (PSAT_LNC011636)". The record is from RNAcentral. Lineage: Eukaryota; Viridiplantae; Streptophyta; Magnoliopsida; Fabales; Fabaceae.